RNAcentral lists this long non-coding RNA (1544 nucleotides) under Ursus thibetanus thibetanus. RNAcentral describes it as "lncRNA (ENSUTTG00000017065.1)". The record is from RNAcentral. Lineage: Eukaryota; Metazoa; Chordata; Mammalia; Carnivora; Ursidae.
AGGCUACUAGCUCUUAAAGUCCUUUCAAGGAGUUCCAAGUUGCCCUGAGACUCACUCAUUUUCCUCAAUAAAUGCCAUCAGGCAAUCACUGGUACAAUUUAUUUUGCUAAAAUUUUAUUUUGUUAAAAAUAUUUGGAGAUUUGGAUAUACGUAUAAAAUUGGAACAGCGAGAUUCAGAUUUAUUUUUUAUUACACCUUAUCACCACUUUUCUAAAUAUAUAAUUAAGCAUAAAAUCUAAAAAAUGCUUUCCUACUGUGUAGUUGUUUUUUAUUAGCCUAUACAUAAUUAUUAUUUUAACAGCUCUUCCCAUUAUAGCUCUUGACCAACAAAUGAUCUUUUUGAUAUAAAUUUCGGUAUUUGUUAUACUGAACCUAACUAAUAUUUGGAACUUAAAUCAGCACGUUUAUAGUUUGCUGUUAAAUAUCAUCUUCUUUGGCAAUUCUAUAUUAGAGAGAUCUGUUUGCAUAUUGACUCUGUAUUCCAAAAUAUAUUUUUGCAACAGAAGGCUAAAAAGCAAGAAAUCAACUAUGAACUUCAUCACAAAUACUGGCUUUCAUCAUGAGUUAUUGAAUACUUUGAUCCUAUGACUUUGCAUAGAGGUAAUUCUUAGGUAGCUAGGAAUUUUUGGUCGCCUACUCAAAUUCACAUGGAUAUUCUACGUGCAACUUAAAUUAAACCUUAUCAAAAUUUAACUUUUUCCUCCCAUUUUUUUCCCAGUUUUUUCUCCCAAACUUUCUCUUUCCUUGUAUUACCUAUUUGGCUGUCAACAAUAUCAACAACUUAAAUUAAACCUUAUCAAAAUUUAACUUUUGCCUCCCAGUUUUUUCCCAGUUUUUCCUCCCGAACUUUCUUUCUCUUUCCUUGUAUUACCUAUUUGGCUGUCAGCAAUAUCAUUCACAUUUCUCAAUGACUCUUGAAUGUACAUUUUCCUGUAUGUGUCCAGUUUGACCCCAAUCCUGGCAAUUACUUUUCAUUACUAAAUGCACUAUACUCUCUUCAGCUUUAUGCUUUUUUCCCCCAACACUGAUUCAUUCAUUUAAUAAGCAUCUAUUGAAUCUGUAAGCCAUGUCAAACAUGGUUGUACAUGUUCAGGAUACUCCAGGCAAUAAAGCAAAAUAGUGGAACUUACUACAUUCCAGAAGGAUGAGACAGAUAAUUAAAUAUUAAUAUAAUUAAUAAGUAAAUUGUAUGUUAGAAGAUGACUUUUUCCCCUCCCUCCAAAGAAAGAAAGAAAGAAAGAAAGAAAGAAAGAAAGAAAGAAAGACAACACAGCAGGCCCCUCUGGGAAUUGGGUAGCCAAAUAUGUAUUUAAUAAACAUUUAUUAUAUUAGUGGUUGACUGAAUGAAUAGUCCUUUAAAUUCCAGUUUGUCUGGUGUUCAAUGUCCUGGAAGACAUGAGUUAUACAUAAAUAGGACUUAGUUCAUCUGUUUGUUUGCUCUGGUUGUCUAAAGACUUAUUUUGCUUUGUUGUCUGUUUACUUCUCUGUCUUUGGUAGAAUAAAUGGGUGAGGGCUCCUAAGAUGCUGACAGUUUAACAUAACAA